Molecule: ribosomal RNA, 277 nt
Filed under: uncultured bacterium
Lineage: Bacteria
Description: partial 16S ribosomal RNA
Rfam family: Bacterial small subunit ribosomal RNA
Source: RNAcentral
UGGGGAAUAUUGCACAAUGGGCGCAAGCCUGAUGCAGCCAUGCCGCGUGUGUGAAGAAGGCCUUCGGGUUGUAAAGCACUUUCAGCGAGGAGGAAGGGUUCAGUGUUAAUAGUACUGUUCAUUGACGUUACUCGCAGAAGAAGCACCGGCUAACUCCGUGCCAGCAGCCGCGGUAAUACGGAGGGUGCAAGCGUUAAUCGGAAUUACUGGGCGUAAAGCGCACGCAGGCGGUUUGUUAAGUCAGAUGUGAAAUCCCCGCGCUUAACGUGGGAACUGC